GUGCCAGCCGCCGCGGUAAUACCGGCAGCCCGAGUGAUGGCCGAUCUUAUUGGGCCUAAAGCGUCCGUAGCUGGCUGCGCAAGUCCGUCGGGAAAUCCACUCGCUCAACGAGUGGGCGUCCGACGGAAACUCCACACCUUGGGACCGGAAGGCUCGAAGGGUACGGCCGGGGUAGGAGUGAAAUCCUGUAAUCCCGUCCGGACCACCGAUGGCGAAAGCACCUUGGAAGGACGGAUCCGACAGUGAGGGACGAAAGCUAGGGUCUCGAACCGGAUUAGAUACCCGUGUAGUCC
Molecule: ribosomal RNA, 293 nt
Filed under: uncultured bacterium
Lineage: Bacteria
Description: partial 16S ribosomal RNA
Rfam family: Archaeal small subunit ribosomal RNA
Source: RNAcentral